UGGCGGUGAAUAGAUAAGCAUCGUGACUGGGGAAGCUCAGGUGAGCACCACCUGAGGGAGAGGGUCUGGCAGUGAAUAAAUAAGCAGUGCGACUGGGAAAUUGUGAAGCUCAGGUGAACGCCACCACCUCCUGGGUUGCUUUAGUGUCCAGCAGCUGCCUAGAACUAUGUUGAAUGAAGAGCUCUCUGGGUUCUGGAAGUGGGGCAGCUUUGGGUGGGGCAGUGUUACCACCGUCAGCCUGGCUUGGGUCUGCAGGGUCCAGGGCCUCGGUCACUUUGCUUCUCUCUCCACAGCUCACUCCUGGGGGCAAAGCGGCGCAGGCCGGAGUGGCCGUGGGUGACUGGGUGCUGAGCAUCGAUGGCGAGAAUGCGGGUAGCCUCACACACAUCGAAGCUCAGAACAAGAUCCGGGCCUGCGGGGAGCGCCUCAGCCUGGGCCUGAGCAGGGCCCAGCCGGUUCAGAGCAAACCGCAGAAGGCCUCCGCCCCCGCCGCGGACCCUCCGCGGUACACCUUUGCACCCAGCGUCUCCCUCAACAAGACGGCCCGGCCCUUUGGGGCGCCCCCGCCCGCUGACAGCGCCCCGCAGCAGAAUGGACAGCCGCUCCGACCGCUGGUCCCAGAUGCCAGCAAGCAGCGGCUGAUGGAGAACACAGAGGACUGGCGGCCGC
Molecule: small RNA, 669 nt
Filed under: Pan troglodytes (chimpanzee)
Lineage: Eukaryota; Metazoa; Chordata; Mammalia; Primates; Hominidae
Description: retained intron
Source: RNAcentral